This 446-nucleotide ribosomal RNA is filed under the name uncultured bacterium. RNAcentral describes it as "bacterial SSU rRNA". It matches the Rfam family "Bacterial small subunit ribosomal RNA", at positions 330 to 793 of the family's 1533-position model. The record is from RNAcentral.
GCCAGACUCCUACGGGAGGCAGCAGUGGGGAAUAUUGCACAAUGGGGGGAACCCUGAUGCAGCGACGCCGCGUGGGUGAAGGAGCACCUCGGUGCGUAAAGCUCUGUCAGCAGGGAAGAGAAUGACGGUACCUGACCAAGAAGCCCCGGCUAACUACGUGCCAGCAGCCGCGGUAAUACGUAGGGGGCAAGCGUUAUCCGGAUUUACUGGGUGUAAAGGGAGCGUAGACGGAAAGGCAAGUCAGAAGUGAAAGCCCAAGGCUCAACCAUGGGACUGCUUUUGAAACUGUCAAACUAGAGUACGGGAGAGGUAAGAGGAAUUCCUAGUGUAGCGGUGAAAUGCGUAGAUAUUAGGAGGAACACCAGUGGCGAAGGCGCCUUACUGGACCGAAACUGACGUUGAGGCUCGAAAGCGUGGGGAGCAAACAGGAUUAGAUACCCUAGUAC